GGGCUUGACAUCCCACGAACCUGCCCGAAAAGGUGGGGUGCCCGCAAGGGAGCGUGGAGACAGGUGGUGCAUGGCUGUCGUCAGCUCGUGUCGUGAGAUGUUGGGUUAAGUCCCGCAACAAGCGCAACCCUCACCCCUAGUUGCCACCGGGUUAAGCCGAGCACUCAAGGGGAACUGCCAGCGUCAAGCUGGAGGAAGGCGGGGAUGACGUCAAGUCAUCAUGCCCCUUACGCCCUGGGCUACACACGUGCUACAAUGGCCAGCACAAAGGGACGCGAGACUGCGAAGUGGAGCUAAUCCCAAAAAGCUGGUCUAAGUUCAGAUUGCAGUCUGCAACUCGACUGCAUGAAGGAGGAAUCGCUAGUAAUCGCGUAUCAGCCCGGCGCGGUGAAUACGUUCCCGGGCCUUGUACACACCGCCCGUCACACCACGAAAGCUGUCUGUACUCGAAGUCGCUGAG
This 460-nucleotide ribosomal RNA is filed under the name uncultured Methylomirabilota bacterium. RNAcentral describes it as "bacterial SSU rRNA". It matches the Rfam family "Bacterial small subunit ribosomal RNA", at positions 977 to 1434 of the family's 1533-position model. Lineage: Bacteria; Methylomirabilota (SeqCode). The record is from RNAcentral.